GACGAACGCUGGCGGCGUGCUUAACACAUGCCAGUCGAACGGUGAAGCGCCUUCCUUUUUGGUGGGUGUGGAUGAGUGGCGAACGGGUGAGUAACACGUGAGUAACCUGCCCCCUUCUUCUGGAUAACCGCAUGAAAGUGUGGCUAAUACGGGAUAUUCUGGGUCUGUCGCAUGAUGGGUCUGGGAAAGAUAUUGUUUCGGUGGGGGAUGGGCUCGCGGCCUAUCAGCUUGUUGGUGGGGUGAUGGCCUACCAAGGCGGUGACGGGUAGCCGGCCUGAGAGGGUGGACGGUCACACUGGGACUGAGACACGGCCCAGACUCCUACGGGAGGCAGCAGUGGGGAAUAGUGCACAAUGGGCGCAAGCCUGAUGCAGCGACGCCGCGUGAGGGAUGGAGGCCUUCGGGUUGUGAACCUCUUUCGCCAGUGAAGCAGGCCUGCCUCGUUUGUGGGUGGGUUGACGGUAGCUGGAGAAGAAGCGCCGGCUAACUACGUG
RNAcentral lists this ribosomal RNA (494 nucleotides) under uncultured bacterium. Its description in RNAcentral is "partial 16S ribosomal RNA". It matches the Rfam family "Bacterial small subunit ribosomal RNA", at positions 28 to 507 of the family's 1533-position model. The record is from RNAcentral.